This 459-nucleotide ribosomal RNA is filed under the name uncultured bacterium. RNAcentral describes it as "partial 16S ribosomal RNA". It matches the Rfam family "Bacterial small subunit ribosomal RNA", at positions 338 to 795 of the family's 1533-position model. The record is from RNAcentral.
CCUACGGGAGGCAGCAGUGAGGAAUAUUGGUCAAUGGGCGCGAGCCUGAACCAGCCAAGUCGCGUGAGGGAAGACGGUCCUAUGGAUUGUAAACCUCUUUUGUCGGGGAGCAAAAGACGCCACGCGUGGCGUUCCGAGAGUACCCGAAGAAAAAGCAUCGGCUAACUCCGUGCCAGCAGCCGCGGUAAUACGGAGGAUGCGAGCGUUGUCCGGAUUUAUUGGGUUUAAAGGGUGCGCAGGCGGAAGAUCAAGUCAGCGGUAAAAUUGAGAGGCUCAACCUCUUCGAGCCGUUGAAACUGGUGUGCUUGAGUGAGUGAGAAGUAUGCGGAAUGCGUGGUGUAGCGGUGAAAUGCAUAGAUAUCACGCAGAACUCCGAGUGCGAAGGCAGCAUACCGGCGCUCAACUGACGCUCAUGCACGAAAGUGUGGGUAUCGAACAGGAUUAGAUACCCUAGUAGUC